UGGAGUGUGGCUCAAGUGGCAGAGCACCUGUCUAGCAAGCACAAGGCCCUGAGUUCAAAUCCUAGUACUGCAA
Molecule: transfer RNA, 73 nt
Filed under: Dipodomys ordii (Ord's kangaroo rat)
Lineage: Eukaryota; Metazoa; Chordata; Mammalia; Rodentia; Heteromyidae
Rfam family: tRNA
About the family: Transfer RNA (tRNA) molecules are approximately 80 nucleotides in length. Their secondary structure includes four short double-helical elements and three loops (D, anti-codon, and T loops).
Source: Rfam by way of RNAcentral